Molecule: ribosomal RNA, 269 nt
Filed under: uncultured bacterium
Lineage: Bacteria
Description: partial 16S ribosomal RNA
Rfam family: Bacterial small subunit ribosomal RNA
Source: RNAcentral
CCCGGCGACCGGCGCACGGGUGAGCAACACGUAUGCAACCUGGCCGCCACAGGGGGAUAACCCGCGGAAACGCGGCCUAAUACCCCGUGACGCCACCGGAGGGCAUCCUCCGGUGGCCAAAGGAGCGAUCCGGUGGCGGAUGGGCAUGCGGCGCAUUAGCUAGACGGCGGGGUGACGGCCCACCGUGGCGACGAUGCGUAGGGGUUCUGAGAGGAAGGCCCCCCACACUGGGACUGAGACACGGCCCAGACUCCUACGGAAGGCAGCAG